ACUCCUACGGGAGGCAGCAGUGGGGAAUAUUGCACAAUGGGCGCAAGCCUGAUGCAGCCAUGCCGCGUGUAUGAAGAAGGCCUUCGGGUUGUAAAGUACUUUCAGCGGGGAGGAAGGUGUUGAGGUUAAUAACCUCAGCAAUUGACGUUACCCGCAGAAGAAGCACCGGCUAACUCCGUGCCAGCAGCCGCGGUAAU
This 197-nucleotide ribosomal RNA is filed under the name uncultured Acinetobacter sp. RNAcentral describes it as "partial 16S ribosomal RNA". It matches the Rfam family "Bacterial small subunit ribosomal RNA", at positions 335 to 524 of the family's 1533-position model. Lineage: Bacteria; Pseudomonadati; Pseudomonadota; Gammaproteobacteria; Moraxellales; Moraxellaceae. The record is from RNAcentral.